GAUGAACGCUAGCUACAGGCUUAACACAUGCAAGUCGAGGGGCAGCAUGGUCUUAGCUUGCUAAGGCCGAUGGCGACCGGCGCACGGGUGAGUAGCACGUAUCCAACCUGCCGUCUACUCUUGGACAGCCUUCUGAAAGGAAGAUUAAUACAAGAUGGCAUCAUGAGUCCGCAUGUUCACAUGAUUAAAGGUAUUCCGGUAGACGAUGGGGAUGCGUUCCAUUAGAUAGUAGGCGGGGUAACGGCCCACCUAGUCUUCGAUGGAUAGGGGUUCUGAGAGGAAGGUCCCCCACAUUGGAACUGAGACACGGUCCAAACUCCUACGGGAGGCAGCAGUGAGGAAUAUUGGUCAAUGGGCGAGAGCCUGAACCAGCCAAGUAGCGUGAAGGAUGACUGCCCUAUGGGUUGUAAACUUCUUUUAUAAAGGAAUAAAGUCGGGUAUGGAUACCCGUUUGCAUGUACUUUAUGAAUAAGGAUCGGCUAACUCCGUGCCAGCAGCCGCGGUAAUACGGAGGAUCCGAGCGUUAUCCGGAUUUAUUGGGUUUAAAGGGAGCGUAGAUGGAUGUUUAAGUCAGUUGUGAAAGUUUGCGGCUCAACCGUAAAAUUGCAGUUGAUACUGGAUAUCUUGAGUGCAGUUGAGGCAGGCGGAAUUCGUGGUGUAGCGGUGAAAUGCUUAGAUAUCACGAAGAACUCCGAUUGCGAAGGCAGCCUGCUAAGCUGCAACUGACAUUGAGGCUCGAAAGUGUGGGUAUCAAACAGGAUUAGAUACCCUGGUAGUCCACACGGUAAACGAUGAAUACUCGCUGUUUGCGAUAUACUGCAAGCGGCCAAGCGAAAGCGUUAAGUAUUCCACCUGGGGAGUACGCCGGCAACGGUGAAACUCAAAGGAAUUGACGGGGGCCCGCACAAGCGGAGGAACAUGUGGUUUAAUUCGAUGAUACGCGAGGAACCUUACCCGGGCUUAAAUUGCAGAUGAAUUACGGUGAAAGCCGUAAGCCGCAAGGCAUCUGUGAAGGUGCUGCAUGGUUGUCGUCAGCUCGUGCCGUGAGGUGUCGGCUUAAGUGCCAUAACGAGCGCAACCCUUGUUGUCAGUUACUAACAGGUUCCGCUGAGGACUCUGACAAGACUGCCAUCGUAAGAUGUGAGGAAGGUGGGGAUGACGUCAAAUCAGCACGGCCCUUACGUCCGGGGCUACACACGUGUUACAAUGGGGGGUACAGAGGGCCGCUACCACGCGAGUGGAUGCCAAUCCCCAAAACCUCUCUCAGUUCGGACUGGAGUCUGCAACCCGACUCCACGAAGCUGGAUUCGCUAGUAAUCGCGCAUCAGCCACGGCGCGGUGAAUACGUUCCCGGGCCU
This 1358-nucleotide ribosomal RNA is filed under the name uncultured bacterium. Its description in RNAcentral is "bacterial SSU rRNA". It matches the Rfam family "Bacterial small subunit ribosomal RNA", at positions 28 to 1381 of the family's 1533-position model. The record is from RNAcentral.